Non-coding RNA from Heterocephalus glaber (naked mole-rat), 125 nucleotides. The record is from Rfam. Lineage: Eukaryota; Metazoa; Chordata; Mammalia; Rodentia; Bathyergidae.
AGCUUUGCCCAAGUAUCAUAGCCAAUGAGGUAUAUCUAAGGCACAAUUAUUGCUAAUUGAAAACUUUUCCCCAUUUUUCAUACACAAAACUAUGCUAAACCAAUCAUUGGGCUAAUUUAGUUAUC